CGUAGGGUGCGAGCGUUAAUCGGAAUUACUGGGCGUAAAGUGUGCGCAGGCGGCCGCGCAAGUCGAGUGUGAAAGCCCCGAGCUUAACUUGGGAACUGCGCUCGAAACUACGUGGCUGGAGUGUGGCAGAGGAAGGUGGAAUUCCAGGUGUAGCGGUGAAAUGCGUAGAGAGCUGGAGGAACACCGAUGGCGAAGGCAGCCUUCUGGGCCAACACUGACGCUCAUGCACGAAAGCGUGGGGAGCAAACAGGAUUAGAUACCCUGGUAGUCCACGCCCUAAACGAUGAUGACUAGUUGUUGGAGGAGUUAAAUCCUUUAGUAACGCAGCUAACGCGUGAAGUCAUCCGCCUGGGGAGUACGGUCGCAAGAUUAA
Molecule: ribosomal RNA, 373 nt
Filed under: uncultured organism
Description: bacterial SSU rRNA
Rfam family: Bacterial small subunit ribosomal RNA
Source: RNAcentral